Asterias rubens (European starfish) is the source of this 1944-nucleotide long non-coding RNA. RefSeq lists it as uncharacterized. Lineage: Eukaryota; Metazoa; Echinodermata; Asteroidea; Forcipulatida; Asteriidae. The transcript has 4 exons. The record is from RefSeq and is a predicted model, not a curated record.
UCAACUAUUUAUAUUACGUAAUGACGAAACGAGCACGAAAUAGCACACGAAUGGGGACUAGACCGCUGGUUUGUUGUUGUGAUGGGAAGCUUUUUGUAAACAUGCUGAAUCUGUAUUUUCGUCUGUCCGUCGUCUAGUCUGCUGUGAAGGCGAAUGUCAUCAUAGAAAUAGGAAUUCACAUCAAAUAACAGAGCACAGCCAGCCGGAGAAUAAGUGCAAAUUUCAGUAAGACCACAGGGGUUUUGAGGUCUACUGCUGAACAGAGAAAAUCUCCACUAGGAUAGUUCUUCGAUGGAGGUUGCCAAGCAAUCUGUGACACAGGAACCUCUGUUUUGGCCAACAGUCGUCGAGGAAUAGAUUUCUAAGCUUGAUGGGAGCUGCACCUCUAGUCAAUCUCGUCAAAGUAAAGGGUCUACUGCUGAACAGAGAAAAUCUCCACUAGGAUAGUUCUUCGAUGGAGGUUGCCAAGCAAUCUGUGACACAGGAACCUCUGUUUUGGCCAACAGUCGUCGAGGAAUAGAUUUCUAAGCUUGAUGGGAGCUGCACCUCUAGUCAAUCUCGUCAAAGUAAAGGAAACGAAGAGGGGAGACACACUUUGCAUGAGUGGACUCAUCAGAAUGGACUUCCCUACACCCCUGGGCGCUCUUUGGAUCCUGGGUGACAUAUUCAUUGGUAAAUACUACUCAAGUUUGAUCAAGUGAACAACCCGUGCAGGUUUUGCUGAUGCUGUCAAGGGUGUGGAAAUCAAGGCUGAGUAAGAAACCUACUUUGUAAAUUGGAAGGAAUAUUACUUAAGGCUUUAAGAAAAAACUAUUAUAGGUUGGCCAAACAAAAAUAUAAUUAUGUUUCCUAUUACACUGAAUAAUUACAAGGGUUUUAUGGCACUGCAGGCUUUAACCAUUUAAACAGUGCUGGUAGGAAUUAUCAUGCAAAAUAAAAUUUAAUUUACAUUCGUUGAUUAUUGCAAUUGGUUGCACAAAAUAAAUUAACUCAGAUGGACCAUCAGUAAAUCUGAAAUUUUUUGAAAAAUAUUAUGGCAAAUAAUAUAGAAAUAUCGCCUACCUAUCCACCCUACUUUUUCCAGUGUAAAAGGAGACAAGACAAACAAUUUGUUUGGCCUUCAUUUCAUUCAUUCAGUCGAUGCGGAGCAUCGGAUGAUGGCCCUCCAAACACGUUGGUCCUCCAACACCUAACAAUUUUGUUCUCGAACUGCUGUACUCGCCAUGUUUUCAGUAUUACAGGAUACUUUACACAUGACUAUCAUUUUGUUUGGCCAAAUAAAAUUUUAUACCAAAAAAUGUUGCCCACCUGUGUAUUUUACGUGUGAUUUUUUCAUUGUAAAAUUUUCCACCUUUGUGUUUGGCCCAAAAUAAUAUGAAGAAAAGAAAACUGUUUUGCCCAUCCACCAACCCAUUACUUUGUAAGGGCAAACAUGACUUUCUUGUUAAAGUGGCCAAACUUUGAUAACAAUUGUAAAAGACGCUGCCCACCUGUACUUUCCUUUUUUAAUUGGAAACUUGACUAUAAUUUCUGUUUGGCCCUAACUACAUACACCCACAAAUUGUUCAUCAAAGUGGGAAAAAUAACUUGGCCAAACUGUGAACAAAUGGGUAUUUUCAACUUCUUUUUCUUUUUAGGGCACUGUAGAAAAAAAAACACCUUGCCUACAUUUCGAGUCCCUUUUUUCACUUUAAUGGGAAACAUGAUUUUAUUUCACUCACACUCAAAAUAAAACAUUCCAAUGUACAUUAAACACAGGAAGCAAAAUAGUGUCAUUUUGUUGAGCUCAAGUGUGACCACUUUAUAAUUUGUUGAAAUUUUAACAGGAUUUAAACUGAAUGACUCCAAAACAAAUGCUGUUAAAAGCUUUUUUUAUCUUAAAGGCACUGGACUUUAUUGGUAAUUACUCAAAAUAAUUGCUAGCAUAAAACCUUACUUGGUUCC